UACGUAGGGGGCGAGCGUUGUCCGGAUUUAUUGGGCGUAAAGAGCUCGUAGGCGGUUCGGCAAGUCAGAUGUAAAAACUCCAGGCUCAACUUGGAGAGGCCAUCUGAUACUGCCGUGACUAGAGUCCGGUAGAGGAGCACGGAAUUCCCGGUGUAGCGGUGAAAUGCGCAGAUAUCGGGAGGAACACCGGUGGCGAAGGCGGUUCUCUGGGCCGAUACUGACGCUGAGGAGCGAAAGCGUGGGGAGCGAACAGG
Molecule: ribosomal RNA, 254 nt
Filed under: uncultured bacterium
Lineage: Bacteria
Description: partial 16S ribosomal RNA
Rfam family: Bacterial small subunit ribosomal RNA
Source: RNAcentral